Molecule: ribosomal RNA, 310 nt
Filed under: uncultured bacterium
Lineage: Bacteria
Description: bacterial SSU rRNA
Rfam family: Bacterial small subunit ribosomal RNA
Source: RNAcentral
AACGAACGCUGGCGGCAGGCCUAACACAUGCAAGUCGAGCGCCCAGCAAUGGGAGCGGCGCACGGGUGAGUAACACGUGGGAACGUGCCCUUUGGUUCGGAAUAACGCAGGGAAACUUGUGCUAAUACCGGAUAAGCCCUACGGGGAAAGAUUUAUCGCCAUUGGAGCGGCCCGCGUCUGAUUAGCUAGUUGGUGAGGUAACGGCCCACCAAGGCAACGAUCAGUAGCUGGUUUGAGAGAACGACCAGCCACACUGGACUGAGACACGGCCCAGACUCUACGGGAGGCAGCAGUGGGGAAUCUUGGACAA